CAGGUAUUAGCCUGUGGACUAGGGUGAAACCAGUGGACAGCAUUCUCUGCAAUCUCCCAGAACACAGCACACCUUGAAAUAACAUCAAAAUUAUGUCUGAGAAGAGAAAGGCAAGAAAGAAUCAGUAAGGCUCAAGGCUUGCUUUCCAAACCUGCCUCUGCAACUUAAGCCUGGACUGCAAACAUAAACUUCUUGGAAAGAACCUCAGUGCAAGAUGAAUAUCUGAGAAGAGCAAAGGGAGAUGCUGGGCUGCAAAAAACCAAGCCUUUUGCUCAAGUAAUCAUGCACAAAACAAAGGUGGACAUUGAGAUCUCUUUUGAGUAUGUUCAUAGCCUGAUAAAAUAAGUCAUUUUGCAAAUCCAGACCCCCUCACUUGAUCUUGUGCUGCUGCAAGGACCAUUUUGUCAGCAUAACCUGGAAGCAGAGAGAGGCAAUGGGCAAGAGAAGAUGAACAUACAGGGAUGCCAUAAGCCACCAUUAGCACAUGCAUGGCCUAAGCUGUUGGUAUAUACUGAUGACAUCCAUGUAGUACUCUGCAGAACGAGGUGAACUGUAAACAACAUUUCAGAAUAGCUGAGGCAUGUGAUUUUGCAGAGGAGGCAAGAAGAAAGCCCAGUAGAUGGGCCAUAUAUCUUGAGACAUGGUUGAAGGAAAUCAGCCUGAAGGAUCAUGACUGGUUCCAUCUGGCCUUGAAAUCAAGGCGAAUGCAGAAGUUUUUUUCUUAGGUCAUCCAGGGAGGCCACAGGUCGGAGUAAGGUCUUCAGUGGAAGAACAGCACCAGGGAAGGGCUUUCAUCUUUCAUGCUCAUUGCACACAUGAACAUUUCCUUUCUGUCAGCAAUUUGGACACCCGGUCAGACCAGUUAUUUUCAAAUUGUUUGUCAUUGUCUGGGCAGGUUUGGUCUCUUAGCAAAGCAUAAUUUUUCAGAUCUGUCACAAGCAGGAACAGACAUCUGAGCAAGUGGCUGGGCUGCUGAGAGAAAUUGUUUGGCUUCAG
This is a long non-coding RNA of Poecile atricapillus (Black-capped chickadee), 996 nucleotides long. RefSeq lists it as uncharacterized. NCBI's taxonomy places the organism in Eukaryota, Metazoa, Chordata, Aves, Passeriformes, Paridae. The transcript has 5 exons. The record is from RefSeq and is a predicted model, not a curated record.